AGUGAACGCUGGCGGUAGGCCUAACACAUGCAAGUCGAACGGCAGCACAGUAAUAGCUUGCUCUUCCGGGGGGCGAGUGGCGGACGUGUGAGGAAUACAUCGGAAUCUACUUUUUCGUGGGGGUUCACGUAGGGAAACUUACGCUAAUACAGCAUACGACCUACGGGUGAAAGCAUGGGAUCUUCGGGCCUGUCGCGAUUGAAUGAGCCGAUGUCGGAUUAGCUAGUUGGCGGGGUAAAGGCCCACCAAGGCGACGAUCCGUAGCUGGUCUGAGAGGAUGAUCAGCGACACUGGAACUGAGACACGGUCCAGACUCCUACGGGAGGCAGCAGUGGGGAAUAUCGGACAAUGGGCGCAAGCCUGAUCCAGCCAUACCGCGUGGGUGAAGAAGGCCUUCGGGUUGUAAAGCCCUUUUGUUGGGAAAGAAAAGCAGCAGGUUAAUACCCCGCUGUUCUGACGGUACCCAAAGAAUAAGCACCGGCUAACUUCGUG
This 492-nucleotide ribosomal RNA is filed under the name uncultured bacterium. Its description in RNAcentral is "partial 16S ribosomal RNA". It matches the Rfam family "Bacterial small subunit ribosomal RNA", at positions 29 to 507 of the family's 1533-position model. The record is from RNAcentral.